Molecule: ribosomal RNA, 953 nt
Filed under: uncultured Bacteroidales bacterium
Lineage: Bacteria; Pseudomonadati; Bacteroidota; Bacteroidia; Bacteroidales
Description: bacterial SSU rRNA
Rfam family: Bacterial small subunit ribosomal RNA
Source: RNAcentral
GCCGCGUGCAGGAUGACGGCUCUAUGAGUUGUAAACUGCUUUUAUACGAGGGUAAACUCCGAUACGAGUAUCGGACUUGAAAGUAUCGUAUGAAUAAGGAUCGGCUAACUCCGUGCCAGCAGCCGCGGUAAUACGGAGGAUCCGAGCGUUAUCCGGAUUUAUUGGGUUUAAAGGGUGCGUAGGCGGUUCGGUAAGUUAGAGGUGAAAGCUCGACGCUCAACGUCGAAAUUGCCUCUGAUACUGCCGGGCUGGAGUAUAGAUGCUGUGGGCGGAAUGAGUAGUGUAGCGGUGAAAUGCUUAGAUAUUACUCAGAACACCGAUUGCGAAGGCAGCUCACAAAACUAAUACUGACGCUGAUGCACGAAAGCGUGGGGAUCAAACAGGAUUAGAUACCCUGGUAGUCCACGCCGUAAACGAUGAUAACUCGUUGUUGGCGAUAUAAGGUCAGUGACUUAGCGAAAGCGUUAAGUUAUCCACCUGGGGAGUACGUUCGCAAGAAUGAAACUCAAAGGAAUUGACGGGGGCCCGCACAAGCGGAGGAACAUGUGGUUUAAUUCGAUGAUACGCGAGGAACCUUACCCGGGCUUGAAAGUUAGCGACGAUCGGUGAAAGUCGAUUUCCCUUCGGGGCGCGAAACUAGGUGCUGCAUGGUUGUCGUCAGCUCGUGCCGUGAGGUGUCGGGUUAAGUCCCAUAACGAGCGCAACCCCUACUGUCAGUUACCAGCAGGUUAAGAUGGGGACUCUGACAGGACUGCCGGUGUAAGCCGAGAGGAAGGUGGGGAUGACGUCAAAUCAGCACGGCCCUUACGUCCGGGGCGACACACGUGUUACAAUGGUCGGUACAGAGGGCAGCUACCCAGCGAUGGGAUGCGAAUCUCGAAAGCCGAUCUCAGUUCGGAUCGCAGGCUGAAACCCGCCUGCGUGAAGUUGGAUUCGCUAGUAAUCGCGCAUCA